This 492-nucleotide ribosomal RNA is filed under the name uncultured bacterium. RNAcentral's name for it is "partial 16S ribosomal RNA". It matches the Rfam family "Bacterial small subunit ribosomal RNA", at positions 29 to 507 of the family's 1533-position model. The record is from RNAcentral.
AGUGAACGCUGGCGGUAGGCCUAACACAUGCGAGUCGAACGGCAGCACAGUAAGAGCUUGCUCUUACGGGUGGCGAGUGGCGGACGGGUGAGGAAUACAUCGGAAUCUACUUUUUCGUGGGGGAUAACGUAGGGAAACUUACGCUAAUACCGCAUACGACCUACGGGUGAAAGCAGGGGAUCUUCGGACCUUGCGCGAUUGAAUGAGCCGAUGUCGGAUUAGCUAGUUGGCGGGGUAAAGGCCCACCAAGGCGACGAUCCGUAGCUGGUCUGAGAGGAUGAUCAGCCACACUGGAACUGAGACACGGUCCAGACUCCUACGGGAGGCAGCAGUGGGGAAUAUUGGACAAUGGGCGCAAGCCUGAUCCAGCCAUACCGCGUGGGUGAAGAAGGCCUUCGGGUUGUAAAGCACUUUUGUUGGGAAAGAAAAGCAGCAGGUUAAUACCCCGCUGUUCUGACGGUACCCAAAGAAUAAGCACCGGCUAACUUCGUG